Molecule: transfer RNA, 32 nt
Filed under: Vitis aestivalis
Lineage: Eukaryota; Viridiplantae; Streptophyta; Magnoliopsida; Vitales; Vitaceae
Also listed under: 41 other names
Description: partial tRNA-Phe
Source: RNAcentral
CUCGUGUCACCAGUUCAAAUCUGGUUCCUGGC